Molecule: ribosomal RNA, 24 nt
Filed under: Dendrobium lohohense
Lineage: Eukaryota; Viridiplantae; Streptophyta; Magnoliopsida; Asparagales; Orchidaceae
Description: partial 26S ribosomal RNA
Source: RNAcentral
GCGACCCCAGGAUAGGCGAGGCCA